GAAUUCGAUUAACGCGAAGAACCUUACCUGGGCUAGACAACGGCGGACCAUCCUAGAAAUAGGAUUUUCCUUUCGGGGACCGCCGGUUCAGGUGCUGCAUGGCUGUCGUCAGCUCGUGCCGUGAGGUGUUGGGUUAAGUCCCGCAACGAGCGCAACCCUCGUCCUUAGUUGCCACCAUUAAGUUGGGCACUCUAGGGAGACUGCCGGCGUUAAGCCGGAGGAAGGUGGGGACGACGUCAAGUCAUCAUGGCCCUUAUGUCCAGGGCCACACACGUGCUACAAUGGGCGGUACAAAGGGUCGCAAACCCGCGAGGGGGAGCCAAUCCCAAAAAGCCGCUCUCAGUUCGGAUUGGAGUCUGCAACUCGACUCCAUGAAGUUGGAAUCGCUAGUAAUCGCGGAUCAGCACGCCGCGGUGAAUACGUUCCCGGGCCUUGUCACACCGAAUCACUA
RNAcentral lists this ribosomal RNA (451 nucleotides) under uncultured soil bacterium. RNAcentral's name for it is "bacterial SSU rRNA". It matches the Rfam family "Bacterial small subunit ribosomal RNA", at positions 947 to 1384 of the family's 1533-position model. The record is from RNAcentral.